RNAcentral lists this non-coding RNA (31 nucleotides) under Rattus norvegicus (Norway rat). The record is from RNAcentral. Lineage: Eukaryota; Metazoa; Chordata; Mammalia; Rodentia; Muridae.
UGGCCUGACAGAGUGUACCAGUUUGGAGGUC